RNA transcript from Pygocentrus nattereri (red-bellied piranha), 1860 nucleotides. It is a transcript of the gene named CMP-N-acetylneuraminate-beta-galactosamide-alpha-2,3-sialyltransferase 1-like, with no coding region annotated. The transcript is spliced from 8 exons. The record is from RefSeq and is a predicted model, not a curated record. NCBI's taxonomy places the organism in Eukaryota, Metazoa, Chordata, Actinopteri, Characiformes, Serrasalmidae.
UACCUGAUUUCAGACUUAGAGGCUUAGAGGAUGACACUCUGCACCAGUAUCACUGGGCACCUUCAGGAACUGUUUGUGGGAAUAAUCAUCCUCUGCCUGGUUGGGUUAAACUACAUCCAGCUUAAUGUUGAUUCAGAGGAGAUGUGUGCCUGUUUCCAGUGUAUGGCAGAAAGUAAAGACGACCCCUGGUUUGCGGAGCGCUACAAGAACCUGGUGCCAAAACUUCUGUCCAGGCAGAACAGCGAGCUCAGUCCAAACACCAGGAAAUGGUGGGAGAGGCUUCAAGGUAGACCAACUAAAAAGAACUACAGUGCAGUUGUGGAGACUCUGUUCUCGCUGUUCCCUGAUGAAGAACACUACUCUGACGCUGGUCCUCACCGCUGCAGAACCUGUGCUGUGGUGGGAAACUCUGGAAAUCUGAAAGGAUCUCAUUAUGGCCCUCUAAUAGACGCCCAUGAUGUUGUCAUAAGGAUGAACAAAGCCCCCAUUGCAGGCUUUGAGAAGGACGUUGGAUUGAAGACCACUCACCAUGCUAUCUACCCCGAGAGUGCUGUGGACAUGGACAACUCCACCCACCUCGUCCUGGUACCAUUUAAAAUUCUGGAUCUUGAGUGGCUCAUCAGUGUCUUCACCACCAAACACAUCACGCGCACACGUCUUGCAGUGAAAAACACAAUACAAGCAGACAUGGACAAGGUGAUGAUAUUGCACCCUGAGUUUAUGAAGUAUGUCAGUGAGAUCUGGCUGAAGCAAAAAGGGAAAUAUCCUUCUACUGGAUUCAUCAUGCUUGUGUUCUCCCUGCACAUCUGUGAUCAGGUGAAUGUAUUUGGAUUUGGUGCCAGUAAAAAUGGGAACUGGUACCAUUACUUUGACAAAAGAUAUCGUCAUCAUCUCAAUACGGGCCACCAUAAAGGAAGCGCUGAAUACAACAUCACUCUGACACUCUCUCUGAAGAACAAGAUCCAGAUGUAUAAAGGAUGGUGAAUUUAAGUCAGAUUAAUAAUGUAGGAGCUGAUUGUAGGAUUUCUGGGGGUUAACCUUCAAUAUCAGACUCCAACAGUACUCAUACAGUAUACUAUGUGGGAUGUAUAAUUUCCUUUGGGAAAGAAAACGGUUGGCAACAUUCCCACCAUUUAUUAGCAGAUGGCACUCUAACCUGACUUCAGAAGCGUGGCAUACAUGCAGGGCUGACCGCGGGUAGUGAUGGACCUGACCAACCGACGUCCUUCCUGAAGAGGUCCCAACAAAAGACUCAGAAAUAAACUUAUUUUAGCUUCUAGUUUUGAUACUUGAUGUUAUUAUACAAGACUUGUAUUGUUUUCCUUCAUAAUCUUUUAAAGUCUGCUUGUCUACCUGUUGUUUCUGUUAUGCCCGCACAUCACUCCCUUAAAUAUAAAGUGAGCACAUGUAUCGUGGAACUUCUCCACUGUCAACUACAGAUGUCAGUCAGUAGCUGUCCAGCAGUUCUGACUUGACUAAAAUGAAAAUCAGGAUUACACAAACCAAACGAGCAGAGAGAAGCAAAAGAGGGGAGGCAAAUCACGACCCAUUGCUUUCAGAACACAGAUGAGCCCGAAGCGCCAAACGCAAACAUAGUAAUGGGAGCUAUAUUAACUAGGUUCGCUAACUAGCAAUUUGCUGUAUUUGCAGUCAUUUCUAACAAGUAUAAGCAGAUAAAGAAGCAUGGGAUUUGAUUCAAGGCAAGUUUUUUUUUCCCCAAUAACGUAACAGACAGUGUUUCUGCAAUCACAGCCCAGUUAAGUUCAGUCUCAGCUCAGCAGCUAACCUAUAAAAUACACACUGUUAGUUCCAGAGGUAACACUUUAUUUGAAGGCUACCUACAUAAGGACUUCAUGACGC